This 515-nucleotide ribosomal RNA is filed under the name uncultured Bacteroidales bacterium. RNAcentral's name for it is "bacterial SSU rRNA". It matches the Rfam family "Bacterial small subunit ribosomal RNA", at positions 15 to 523 of the family's 1533-position model. Lineage: Bacteria; Pseudomonadati; Bacteroidota; Bacteroidia; Bacteroidales. The record is from RNAcentral.
GAUCCUGGCUCAGGAUGAACGCUAGCGGGAGGCUUAACACAUGCAAGUCGAGGGGCAGCAUAAUGUAGCAAUACGUUGAUGGCGACCGGCAGACGGGUGAGUAACGCGUAUGCAACUUACCCUGUACAGAGGGAUAACCCGGAGAAAUUCGGACUAAUACCACAUGAAGAUAUAGAUGGGCAUCCAUUUAUAUUAAAAGCUACGGCGGUACAGGAUGGGCAUGCGUAACAUUAGCUAGUUGGCGGGGUAAAGGCCCACCAAGGCGACGAUGUUUAGGGGACCUGAGAGGGUGAUCCCCCACACUGGUACUGAGACACGGACCAGACUCCUACGGGAGGCAGCAGUGAGGAAUAUUGGUCAAUGGGCGGAAGCCUGAACCAGCCAUUCCGCGUGCAGGAAGACGGCCCUAUGGGUUGUAAACUGCUUUUCCAGUGGAAGAAUAACUUCGACUAGUCGGGGGAUGACGGUACACUGGGAAUAAGCAUCGGCUAACUCCGUGCCAGCAGCCGCGGUAA